This 483-nucleotide ribosomal RNA is filed under the name uncultured bacterium. Its description in RNAcentral is "partial 16S ribosomal RNA". The stretch from base 61 to 483 matches the Rfam family "Bacterial small subunit ribosomal RNA", at positions 39 to 507 of the family's 1533-position model. The record is from RNAcentral.
GGGGGGGGGGGGGGGGGGGGGGGGGGGGGGGGGGGGGGGGGGGGGGGGGGGGGAGGCGGGGCGGGGGGCGGCGGGGGGGGGGGGGGGGGGGCGGGAGCUGCCGUUUUGUGGGGGAUAACGGAGGGAAACUUACUCUCAUACCGCAUACGUCCUACGGGAGAAAGGGGGGGACCGCAAGGCCUCCCGCAGAAAGGUGCGCCGACGCCCGAUGAGCUAGUUGGUGGGGUAAAGGCCCACCAAGGCGACGAUCGGUAGCUGGUCUGAGAGGAUGAUCAGCCACACUGGGACUGAGACACGGCCCAGACUCCUACGGGAGGCAGCAGUGGGGAAUAUUGGACAAUGGGCGAAAGCCUGAUCCAGCCAUGCCGCGUGUGUGAAGAAGGCCUUCGGGUUGUAAAGCACUUUUGUCCGGAAAGAAAUCCCGGGAGCUAAUACCUUCGGGGGAUGACGGUACCGGAAGAAUAAGCACCGGCUAACUUCGUG